UCCCGUUGAUCCUGCGGGAGAUCGCUGCUAUUAGGUUCCCAUUUAGCCGUGCAAGUCCAGGGGGCUCUUCGGAGUCACCGGCGAAAUGCUCAGUAACACGUCAAUAAUCUAACCUUAAGUCUGGAAUAACCCCGGGAAACUGGGGCUAAUACCGGAUGGGGGAUUGAUGCUGGAAUGCACUUUCCCUGAAAGUUUCGACGCUUAAGGAUGAGUUGGCGGUCGAUUAGGCUGUUGGUGAGGUAAUGGCUCACCAAACCAACGAUCGGUAGGGGGGAUGAGAGUCCUAGCCCCGAGAAGGGCACUGAGAUAAGGGCCCUAGUCCUAAGGGAUGCAGCAGGCGGGAAACCUUUACAAUACACGAAAGUGUGAUAAGGGGAACCUAAGUGCUUGCCUUCGGGUAAGCUUUUGUUGAGUGUAAAAACCUCAACGAAUAAGUGGUGGGUAAGACCGGUGCCAGCCGCCGCGGUAACACCGGCGCCACGAGUGGGGAUCAGCUUUAUUUGGCCUAAAGCGUUCGUAGCCGAUUAUAUAAGUCUCUUGUGAAAUCGUUGGGCUUAACUCAGCGGCGUGCAAGAGAUACUGUGUAGUUAGGGACCGGGAGGGGACAGAGGUACUCUUUGGGAAGCGGUAAAAUGUUAUAAUCCUUAGAGGACCACCUGUGGCGAAGGCGUCUGUCCAGAACGGGUUCGACGGUGAGGAACGAAAGCUGGGGGAUCAAACCGGAUUAGAUACCCGAGUAGUCCCAGCCGUAAACUCUGCGAACUAUGUGUUGCGCAUCUUUCGAGGAUGCGCAGUGCCGUAGCGAAGGUGUUAAGUUCGCCGCCUGGGAAGUAUGGUCGCAAGACUGAAACUUAAAGGAAUUGGCGGGGACGCGCUACCAGGGGUGGAAUGUGCGGUUUAAUCAGAUUCUACACCGUGAACCUCACCAGGAACGCCGGCAGGAUGAAAGUCAGAUUGAAGGUCUUACUUAACAAGCCGAGAGGAGGUGCAUGGCCGCCGUCAGCUCGUGCCGUAAGGUGUCCAGUUAAGUCUGGCAACGAGCAAGACCUGUAUCUAUAGUUGCCACCGACUCCUCCGGGAGGAUCGAGCACACUAUAGAGACUGCCUUGGAAACAAGGAGGAAGGUGCAGGCAACGGUAGGUGGUAUGCCCCGAAUUUCCUGGGCUACACGCGCAUUACAAUGGCAGGGACAAUGGGAUGCGACUCCGAGAGGAGAAGCUAAUCCUCGAAACCCUGUCUCAGUUCGGAUUGAGGGCUGCAAUUCGCCCUCAUGAAGCCGGAAUCCCUAGUAAUCGGGCGUCAUCAGCGCCCGGUGAAUACGUCAACGUGUCUUGCACACACCGCCCGUCAAACCAUUCGAGCAGGGUUUAGGUGAGGCUUGGGUUUUUGCUUAAGUCGAAUCUAAGCUCAGUAAGAAGGGUUAAGUCGUCACAAGGUA
This 1438-nucleotide ribosomal RNA is filed under the name metagenome. Its description in RNAcentral is "bacterial SSU rRNA". It matches the Rfam family "Archaeal small subunit ribosomal RNA". The record is from RNAcentral.